This 86-nucleotide transfer RNA is filed under the name Alphaproteobacteria bacterium. RNAcentral's name for it is "tRNA-Leu". It matches the Rfam family "tRNA". Rfam says of the family: Transfer RNA (tRNA) molecules are approximately 80 nucleotides in length. Their secondary structure includes four short double-helical elements and three loops (D, anti-codon, and T loops). The record is from RNAcentral. Lineage: Bacteria; Pseudomonadati; Pseudomonadota; Alphaproteobacteria.
GCCCCAAUGGCGGAAUGGUAGACGCGGCAGACUCAAAAUCUGUUGGUGGAGACACCGUGCUGGUUCAAGUCCGGCUUGGGGCACCA